Molecule: ribosomal RNA, 907 nt
Filed under: Bacillus sp. (in: firmicutes)
Lineage: Bacteria; Bacillati; Bacillota; Bacilli; Caryophanales; Bacillaceae
Description: bacterial SSU rRNA
Rfam family: Bacterial small subunit ribosomal RNA
Source: RNAcentral
UACUGCAAGUCGAGCGGACAGAAGGGAGCUUGCUCCCGGAUGUUAGCGGCGGACGGGUGAGUAACACGUGGGUAACCUGCCUGUAAGACUGGGAUAACUCCGGGAAACCGGAGCUAAUACCGGAUAGUUCCUUGAACCGCAUGGUUCAAGGAUGAAAGACGGUUUCGGCUGUCACUUACAGAUGGACCCGCGGCGCAUUAGCUAGUUGGUGAGGUAACGGCUCACCAAGGCGACGAUGCGUAGCCGACCUGAGAGGGUGAUCGGCCACACUGGGACUGAGACACGGCCCAGACUCCUACGGGAGGCAGCAGUAGGGAAUCUUCCGCAAUGGACGAAAGUCUGACGGAGCAACGCCGCGUGAGUGAUGAAGGUUUUCGGAUCGUAAAGCUCUGUUGUUAGGGAAGAACAAGUGCAAGAGUAACUGCUUGCACCUUGACGGUACCUAACCAGAAAGCCACGGCUAACUACGUGCCAGCAGCCGCGGUAAUACGUAGGUGGCAAGCGUUGUCCGGAAUUAUUGGGCGUAAAGGGCUCGCAGGCGGUUUCUUAAGUCUGAUGUGAAAGCCCCCGGCUCAACCGGGGAGGGUCAUUGGAAACUGGGAAACUUGAGUGCAGAAGAGGAGAGUGGAAUUCCACGUGUAGCGGUGAAAUGCGUAGAGAUGUGGAGGAACACCAGUGGCGAAGGCGACUCUCUGGUCUGUAACUGACGCUGAGGAGCGAAAGCGUGGGGAGCGAACAGGAUUAGAUACCCUGGUAGUCCACGCCGUAAACGAUGAGUGCUAAGUGUUAGGGGGUUUCCGCCCCUUAGUGCUGCAGCUAACGCAUUAAGCACUCCGCCUGGGGAGUACGGUCGCAAGACUGAAACUCAAAGGAAUUGACGGGGGCCCGCACAAGCGGUGGAGCAUGU